UACGAAGGAUGCGAGCGUUAUCCGGAUUUAUUGGGUUUAAAGGGUGCGUAGGCGGCUUUGUAAGUCAGUGGUGAAAUAUGGCAGCCCAACUGUCAGGGUGCCAUUGAUACUGCGGAGCUUGAGUACAGAUGAGGUAGGCGGAAUUGACGGUGUAGCGGUGAAAUGCUUAGAUAUCGUCAAGAACACCGAUAGCGAAGGCAGCUUACUAGGCUGUAACUGACGCUGAGGCACGAAAGUGUGGGGAUCAAACAGG
RNAcentral lists this ribosomal RNA (253 nucleotides) under uncultured bacterium. RNAcentral's name for it is "partial 16S ribosomal RNA". It matches the Rfam family "Bacterial small subunit ribosomal RNA", at positions 524 to 776 of the family's 1533-position model. The record is from RNAcentral.